RNAcentral lists this long non-coding RNA (2370 nucleotides) under Gossypium barbadense (sea-island cotton). RNAcentral describes it as "long non-coding RNA (GBAR_LNC014322)". Lineage: Eukaryota; Viridiplantae; Streptophyta; Magnoliopsida; Malvales; Malvaceae. The record is from RNAcentral.
UCAAAUAAAUUAUUUGUAAUUGUGUUAAAAAAACAAGUAUUGAAUAAUUAUAAAUUGCUUCGAAACCACAAUGAGUACUAGAAAUAAUAAUAUUAUCCAAAUACAUAAUUAAUGGUACACCACAUAGUAACAACAUUGUCCAAGCUGGACUAUGUUUCUGAUCAUGCACAUGCUUCAUAUCACUGCAGCAAAAAAUGAUGAACCAGACAUUAGCUAAAAAACUUAUACAUGCACAUCAAUAAAAUCCUAAUUGCCUUUAAACCUAGUGCUUGCCCAUUGCAACUCCUGAGCCUAAUCCAUAAUCAGAACAAAAGGGAUCAAUGCCACCAGUUUCACCCCAAUCUUCAACACCAUAAAAACCAGCAGCUUUCCCUUCAUUAGAACUCAACUUCCAUAAACAUUCAAGUCACCAAAAGACAACACAUCAUUCCCCAUGUUAAACUGCAAAGGAGAAUCACCUCAAUACUUCCUUUUAAUCCAUUAACUCAUUUACAAAAACUAAAACAUGGAAUCAAUUAUAAUGCAAAGGACUAAAAGCAUUAACAAUUUAUUCCAGUAAAUAAGACCCACGGCAUUCAGAAUAUCAUAAACUACAAAAACAUCUACAUACCCUGAGUUUCUUAUGCGUUGCAACUAGAAGAGGAGGAAUAAGUGAAUACAGAUCACACAACGGUCUUGUAAGUGCUGAAAAAGUUGGGUGCUCAAUAGCCCUGCAAAAAAGUAUGAUAUCCUUGAAAUAACUAAACAAAUAAUAUUGCUUAACAUCCAUAUCUCAAACAUUAAGCACCUCAGGAUAAAUUGCAUUUGAAAUUCAAUUAGCAUAACUCAAACAUCCAUAUCAUUCAUUAGCAGGAGCCUAGGAGGAAUUGCAAUGGAAUACACUAUUUGCUAGUAUGCUUAACAUAAAAGAAUCUACUGUCUCCAUGAAAAAAAAGAUUAUUUAGUGCACCACUGGUGAAGCUAAAAUCUCCAUAUGGGACGCUACUAAUCUGCUACAUGCUUAUUAAGUACACGAUUACUAUCCUAUAUGCAAGCCAAACAACCGAGACAACCACAAAAGACUCAAAGAAAAGUAGGCGAAAGAAGGUGAAAGACAUGGGUGGUGAAGGAAGCUCCAGGCAGUCCAGAACCACCCAAGAGUCAGAUACUCUGUCCAAGGCAGGGUCCCUAAUCAGUUGUGAUUCAGAGUUUGUAGAAGGGGAGGGUAAUUGAAAUGGAGAAAUUCCUGAUUUUCUUUUUCUCUGUAUGUAAACAUAUUGGUUGCUAGACCAUCUUUUUGCUUUAGUGGAAAUCAAGAAAAGUGUCGUGAAACUAGUAGGCAAGAAGGAAACAACGAAGCAAGAUGAUAUAAGGAAGCAGUUGAAGGUAAAAGCUAUUAUAAUUGAGAGAAGAGAUAAAACAUGCACUGUUUAUAUACGAACCAAGUGUAUUCAAAACUUCUCAUGAAAGAAAAAAUACCAAAUAUUCUUCUUUUUCUCUCCAUUUUCUCUUCUUAUCUGGUCUCUAAAAUUGGAAUCAAAGCUAUAACAAUUCCACUCAAAAAAGGGCAAACACUAGAAACACAAAAUCCAAAUCCUAGUAAUAUAAACUGUCACCAAGAAUUUACUGGUAUUUCAUCGGUGCCUUUUUCAUGCAUUUUUAAAUGAACCCAAAGCAUCCCUUCAGAAAAAAAAGAUUCACUCUCUCAAGGCAGUGGAUCAAAAACUCAGAAAUCAAAAGGAAGAAACAAAAGAAGCCUGUUGCAGAAAUACCGAUAUCAUUGUAAUUCAGCAAAAAUAAGCAAGAUCUACUAACUGAAGCUUUAAAGGUAGAAAUGUUGAGAUUUUUAUAGUGAAAAUAGCAAGAAAAUUAAAAGGGAAAGCUUCCCUUCUUCCGAUUUCUGGAAAAUCCAGCAAAAACAUUUUACACCAUUUUCAUAAAAACUUAAAGCUUUUGGGUGACUCACCGACAGAUCUAUAGAGCAGAGAGAUGGAGAAGGAAGAUGAACCUGAGAGACAGAGAUGGCGAGGCAGAGAUGAGGAGGAGAGGCGGAAGCUUUGAGGAAUGAAAAAUGUCUGCUGCUUAGAAGAGAAUGGAAAAUGUCUGCUUAGAGAAGAAUGGAAAAUGUCUUACCAAUUUUGAAGCCGUAAGACAUUUUCCAGAUGAAUGGGUUUAAUUUUACUGUGUUUUGGAAAAUGUUUUACUAAAGGAUUUCAUUUUCCCCCAAACAAACACCGGAAAUGAUGUAAAAUGUUUUCCGGAAACCAUUUUACAGCAAACAAACGCACCCUUAAUCUCAAAGCCCAUUCAAUCAUAUGGAUGUAUGAAGUUGAACAAGUGAGUGGAAGUUAACAAUUUCUUGACACGGUUAUAAGUGUUGAUUUAAUUAGC